AGGCAGUGAGCUGUCUUGGUCAGCACCCAGGUGUAUCCAUCAACACGGGCACGUUAUAUCAAAAUGCAAAUAUGCAUUCCAGGAUGGUGACUGAAGCUCAUCUUUGUAAACACCUAAAUCCCUAGAAUGGACUUCAAAACAGAUUCUGAAAGUUUAACCAGUAUAAUUUUGAAUAUGAUCUGUACCUGUAUUGCCAAAGUUUGGGGCAACAUGAAAAUCUU
Saccostrea cuccullata (small rock oyster) is the source of this 221-nucleotide long non-coding RNA. RefSeq lists it as uncharacterized. NCBI's taxonomy places the organism in Eukaryota, Metazoa, Mollusca, Bivalvia, Ostreida, Ostreidae. The transcript has 3 exons. The record is from RefSeq and is a predicted model, not a curated record.